UACGAAGGGUGCAAACGUUGCUCGGAAUUAUUGGGCGUAAAGCGCACGUAGGCGGCCUUGUAAGUCGGAUGUGAAAUCCCUCGGCUUAACCGAGGACGUGCAUCCGAAACUGUGAGGCUCGAGUAUGGAAGAGGGUCGCAGAAUUCCCGGUGUAGAGGUGAAAUUCGUAGAUAUCGGGAGGAAUACCAGUGGCGAAGGCGGCGACCUGGGCCAAUACUGACGCUGAGGUGCGAAAGCGUGGGGAGCAGACGGG
This 253-nucleotide ribosomal RNA is filed under the name uncultured bacterium. Its description in RNAcentral is "partial 16S ribosomal RNA". It matches the Rfam family "Bacterial small subunit ribosomal RNA", at positions 524 to 776 of the family's 1533-position model. The record is from RNAcentral.